CCCACCCUUAAUUAUAUAUUAAUGUUGCUUUGGUGGGCGGGGGGGCAGGGCCGCGCCCCGGCUUCGGCGAAGGAGCGCCCGCCAGAGGAUUCUACAAACCUGAUUAUUAGUGUCGUCUGAGUACUAUAUAAUAGUUAAAACUUUCAACAACGGAUCUCUUGGUUCUGGCAUCGAUGAAGAACGCAGCGAAAUGCGAUAAGUAAUGUGAAUUGCAGAAUUCAGUGAAUCAUCGAAUCUUUGAACGCACAUUGCGCCCCGUGGUAUUCCGCGGGGCAUGCCUGUUCGAGCGUCAUUAUGACCAAUCCCGUUCGCGGGGUCUUGGGCACCGCCAUCUGGCGGGCCUCAAAAUCAGUGGCGGUACGGCCGGGCUCUGAGCGUAGUAAAUCUUCUCGCUACAGGGUCCCGGGCGGCACUGGCCAGCAACCCCCAAUCUUUCACAGGUUGACCUCGGAUCAGGUAGGGAUACCCGCUGAACUUAA
RNAcentral lists this ribosomal RNA (479 nucleotides) under uncultured Zalerion. RNAcentral describes it as "eukaryotic LSU rRNA". The stretch from base 139 to 292 matches the Rfam family "5.8S ribosomal RNA". The record is from RNAcentral. Lineage: Eukaryota; Fungi; Ascomycota.